CCUACGGGAGGCAGCAGUGGGGAAUAUUGGGCAAUGGAGGAAACUCUGACCCAGCGACGCCGCGUGCGGGAUGAAGGCCUUCGGGUUGUAAACCGCUUUCAGUAGGGAAGAAGCGAAAGUGACGGUACCUACAAAAGAAGCACCGGCUAACUAUGUGCCAGCAGCCGCGGUAAUACAUAGGGUGCAAGCGUUGUCCGGAAUUAUUGGGCGUAAAGAGCUCGUAGGUCGUUUGUUACGUCGGAUGUGAAAACCUGAGGCUCAACCUCAGGCCUGCAUUCGAUACGGGCAAACUAGAGUUUGGUAGGGGAGACUGGAAUUCCUGGUGUAGCGGUGGAAUGCGCAGAUAUCAGGAGGAACACCAAUGGCGAAGGCAGGUCUCUGGGCCAAUACUGACACUGAGGAGCGAAAGUCUGGGGAGCGAACAGGAUUAGAUACCCUGGUAGUCCAGACCGUAAACGGUGGGCACUAGUUGUGGGAACCUUCCACGGUUUCUGCGACGCAGCUAACGCAUUAAGUGCCCCGCCUGGGGAGUACGAUCGCAAGAUUAAAACUCAAAGGAAUUGACGGCNGAGACGNGCGACGACGACGACGAGGAGGAG
This 599-nucleotide ribosomal RNA is filed under the name uncultured bacterium. RNAcentral's name for it is "bacterial SSU rRNA". It matches the Rfam family "Bacterial small subunit ribosomal RNA", at positions 338 to 949 of the family's 1533-position model. The record is from RNAcentral.